AGGGUAAGCAGAUCCUGCUCCACGUGUGGCGCCCAUCGUGUUGCUCAUUAUGUACAAAGCGGUAAAUAGUCUAAUUCGUUAGGUCACAUUCGUGAAAAAGGAAUGGACUGUAGUUACGACAUAAUGAAGAUAUCCGAUAUCAUCUGUAUAACGGAUAUUCCAUAUUGGUCAACCAACUCAUGAUGGCUUCCGUAAAAUUUAAGAAGUGGUGA
RNAcentral lists this long non-coding RNA (212 nucleotides) under Mytilus galloprovincialis (Mediterranean mussel). Lineage: Eukaryota; Metazoa; Mollusca; Bivalvia; Mytilida; Mytilidae. The record is from RNAcentral.